AUACGUAGGGAGCGAGCGUUGUCCGGAUUUACUGGGCGUAAAGGGAGCGUAGGCGGGCGUGCAAGUCAGAUGUGAAAUACAUGGGCUCAACCCCUGGGCGGCAUUUGAAACUGCCUUUCUUGAGUGAGGGAGAGGUAAGCGGACUUCCUGGUGUAGCGGUGAAAUGCGUAGAUAUAAGGAGGAACACCAGUGGGGAAGGCGGCCUGCUGGACGACAACUGACGCUGAGGCGCGAAAGCGUGGGGAGCAAACAGGAUUAGAUACCCUGGUAGUCCACGCUGUAAACGAUGAAUACUAGGUGUGGGGGGACUGACCCCCUCCGUGCCGCAGUUAACACAAUAAGUAUUCCACCUGGGGAGUACGAUCGCAAGAUUGAAACUCAAAGGAAUUGACGGGG
Molecule: ribosomal RNA, 396 nt
Filed under: uncultured bacterium
Lineage: Bacteria
Description: partial 16S ribosomal RNA
Rfam family: Bacterial small subunit ribosomal RNA
Source: RNAcentral